AUGUUUAUAGGCAUAUUUGCUGUUCUCUUCUCUUUGGUCACAGACACUGUUCUGGGAGUGACACUGGAGCAAAAAGAUCUCUCCAUGACAAAAGAGGAGGGCAAAAGCGUGUAUAUCAGCUGCAAUGUGACCGGAUUAUCCAGUAGCGACUAUGUUCACUGGUACCAAAAGAAAGAAGGUGAAGCUCUCACAAGGAUCCUAUACAUCAAAAGUGGAAGCCAGGAACCUGUUCCUGAUCCUAACUUUUGUGAAGCAAAGAACUUUGGUGUGAGGGUACAGUCUGAUAAUUAUGACCUGAAGAUAGCAAACCUGCAGAAAAGUCACUCUGCAGUUUAUUACUGUGCCGCCUGGGAAAGCACCCACAGUGACACCCCUGAGCCUGUGUGGCGCAAGGGCAAAGUGUCAGUCUCUGACCCCAGAGACCUGAGCUCAAGUCCUGCCCCUCACAGUGCCAAUAGUAUGUGA
This is a non-coding RNA of Pangasianodon hypophthalmus (striped catfish), 465 nucleotides long. The record is from the annotation of a RefSeq genome assembly. NCBI's taxonomy places the organism in Eukaryota, Metazoa, Chordata, Actinopteri, Siluriformes, Pangasiidae.